GCCUGGGUGGCGGAAUAGGUAGACGCAGAGGACUUAAAAUCCUCUUCCGCUUUGCGGAGUGCCGGUUCGAUUCCGGCCCCAGGCA
RNAcentral lists this transfer RNA (85 nucleotides) under bacterium. RNAcentral's name for it is "tRNA-Leu". It matches the Rfam family "tRNA". Rfam says of the family: Transfer RNA (tRNA) molecules are approximately 80 nucleotides in length. Their secondary structure includes four short double-helical elements and three loops (D, anti-codon, and T loops). The record is from RNAcentral.